GUUACUCAUGUAAUGCACAUAGUAAAAUUGGAAUGAUACAGAGAAGGUUAGCAUGUGCCUUGUGUAAAGGUGGCAGCAGACUAAGUAGCUCAUCCUUCAAUU
Thalassophryne amazonica is the source of this 102-nucleotide small nuclear RNA. NCBI's taxonomy places the organism in Eukaryota, Metazoa, Chordata, Actinopteri, Batrachoidiformes, Batrachoididae. The record is from RefSeq and is a predicted model, not a curated record.